GAUGAACGCUGGCGGCGUGCCUAAUACAUGCAAGUCGAGCGAACAGACGAGGAGCUUGCUCCUCUGACGUUAGCGGCGGACGGGUGAGUAAAACGUGAUUAACCUCCUUUUAGGACUGGGAUAACUUCGGGAAACCGGGCCUAUUCCGGGUUAAUAUUUUAACCCCCAUGGUUCAUUGGUAAAAACCGGUUUUCUUUUACCUUUUAGUGGGUUCCGCGCCGCAUUAGCUAGUUGGUAAGUUAACGGCUUACCAAGGCAACGAUGCGUAGCCGACCUGAGAGGGUGAUCGGCCACACUGGAACUGAGACACGGUCCAGACUCCUACGGGAGGCAGCAGUAGGGAAUCUUCCGCAAUGGGCGAAAGCCUGACGGAGCAACGCCGCGUGAGUGAUGAAGGUCUUCGGAUCGUAAAACUCUGUUAUUAGGGAAGAACAAAUGUGUAAGUAACUAUGCACGUCUUGACGGUACCUAAUCAGAAAGCCACGGCUAACUACGUG
RNAcentral lists this ribosomal RNA (497 nucleotides) under uncultured bacterium. RNAcentral's name for it is "partial 16S ribosomal RNA". It matches the Rfam family "Bacterial small subunit ribosomal RNA", at positions 28 to 507 of the family's 1533-position model. The record is from RNAcentral.